AGAUUGAACGCUGGCGGCAGGCCUAACACAUGCAAGUCGAGCGGUAGAGAGGUGCUUGCAUCUCUUGAGAGCGGCGGACGGGUGAGUAAUGCCUAGGAAUCUGCCUAGUGGUGGGGGAUAACGUUCGGAAACGGACGCUAAUACCGCAUACGUCCUACGGGAGAAAGCGGGGGACCUUCGGGCCUCGCGCCAUUAGAUGAGCCUAGGUCGGAUUAGCUAGUUGGUGAGGUAAUGGCUCACCAAGGCGACGAUCCGUAACUGGUCUGAGAGGAUGAUCAGUCACACUGGAACUGAGACACGGUCCAGACUCCUACGGGAGGCAGCAGUGGGAAUAUUGGACAAUGGGCGAAAGCCUGAUCCAGCCAUGCCGCGUGUGUGAAGAAGGUCUUACGGAUUGUAAAGCUACUUUAAGUUGGGAGAAGGGCAGGUUACCUAAUACGUAUCUGUUUGACGUUACGACUAGAAUAGACACCGGCUAACUCUGUGCCAGCACG
Molecule: ribosomal RNA, 494 nt
Filed under: uncultured soil bacterium
Lineage: Bacteria
Description: bacterial SSU rRNA
Rfam family: Bacterial small subunit ribosomal RNA
Source: RNAcentral